This is a long non-coding RNA of Homo sapiens (human), 588 nucleotides long. Ensembl annotates it as MIR9-1 host gene. Its record names the gene MIR9-1HG. The record is from Ensembl. Lineage: Eukaryota; Metazoa; Chordata; Mammalia; Primates; Hominidae.
CAGCCUCUUUUAUCCACUGGCCAGGUGUGAAUGCCACCCAACAUACCAGGAGGAGGGGACAGGUAGGGUGCAGCUCUGCCACAUUGCCCCUAACCUGCCCUGCUCCCUCCCUGCAGCCUUCAUCUCCUCGUCCUCCAGGCAGCACAAGCCAUUGUGGAAUCUCCACCAGGUGUACAGAACGGUGCCUCUGCGUCCUGCCACUCAGGACCUCUCAAGUCCCCGAUGUGAUGGCUCCUCAGCAUGAUCAGGAACCAAAAAGAAGAAUGUACUUCAUCUGGUUGGGCUGGAUUCCCUCUGAUAAGCCUUCCCAGUUGACUGAAAGAUGAGGCUAGGCUCUAGCAAGUUGAAGUCAAACCAGCUCCUUCAAGAAGCUUUGAGCAGAAUGAAGUGGGGAGGACCCAGCUUCCAGCCCAGGAAGCCCACUGUACCUGGAGCCAUCUGGGAUAAGACUUUGACCCAUGACUCCCAUAUCCACAGCCUGUCCAUCCUAGCCCAUCCCAGUUUAUCCUGUAUCAUUUGAGCUGGGAUUCCCACAUCCUCUGAGUUGGAAGUCCCAUCUCAAGUCUUCAAUAAAGACUCUUGAAUAUU